RNAcentral lists this long non-coding RNA (662 nucleotides) under Hordeum vulgare. RNAcentral's name for it is "long non-coding RNA (HVUL_LNC016831)". Lineage: Eukaryota; Viridiplantae; Streptophyta; Magnoliopsida; Poales; Poaceae. The record is from RNAcentral.
CCGGAGACCAGCGGCUUUGUCUCAGGUGAUCAUCAGCUAAGCCAAACAUCCGUUUAACCAGCCAGCAAAAAACCUAGGUACAAGGCAUUCAUGAUUCACUGCAAGCAGUGGGGUGCUAUCCCUGGGUCUGACCUCUGAGGCUGAGGAUCAGCAGGGCGAGAGAGACGAUGGCAGCGCGCGCUCGGCUCUGCUCUACUCUACUGUAUGUGUGUUAAAUAACUGCUAAAUGGAGCGACGCUGUCUUUGCAGGGGAGGGCGCCGCAUCGGGCAGGGAGGGGGGCCGGAGCGCGGCAGCGGCGGCGGGGCCCCNAUUACUACUGCGGCCCGUCGUCCUCCUCGUCCUGCUCCUCGAUGGCAGGUGGGUGGGGUGGGUGCGGCCGACCGGCGAGCAAUUAGUACCCGCGCAUGUGUGCACGCGCCCGCCCGACUGAGCCACUGAACUGGCCCUGCGGUGGUUGCAGUCCUGCAGACCGGCCGGCUUCUAGGACGGGCCGCCAUCUUUUUGUUUCUUUCUUUCCUUGGACCGGCGACGAUUUUCUUGACCUGUUUCUUGCGGCGCGCAGGGAGGAAGGAGGGGGUGCUGUACCCGUUCGCCGUGGUGAGGCCGCUGGUGCUGGACGGCGACACGCUCAGCGACGUCAACCGGCGGAUCCUGAAGNNNN